CUCCUGUCGCUUCCAGAACGAUGAGGUUGACAGUGUAGGAUUUUAGGGUUUCGACCAGUUUAGAUAUGUCCUCCUUUGUGUUAGCAACUUUCAUCGCUUUACCGAGGGGACGGAGGUAAACAUCUAGGGUCGCUUUACUAAUGUCAAUGCCUACCCAUUGAGAGAUAUUUUCCAUGAUUGAACCUGAGAAAUUGGCGGGAUUAAUGGUUAUUUUGGAGAGCAUCCCCUUGAUUUUACUCAUCCUUGCCCGAUACGGUCU
This 259-nucleotide ribosomal RNA is filed under the name Microcystis aeruginosa FACHB-524. Its description in RNAcentral is "partial 23S ribosomal RNA". Lineage: Bacteria; Bacillati; Cyanobacteriota; Cyanophyceae; Chroococcales; Microcystaceae. The record is from RNAcentral.